GAGUAGGCCCACCAAGGCAACGAUCGGUAGCCGGACUGAGAGGUUGAACGGCCACAUUGGGACUGAGACACGGCCCAGACUCCUACGGGAGGCAGCAUG
Molecule: ribosomal RNA, 99 nt
Filed under: uncultured bacterium
Lineage: Bacteria
Description: partial 16S ribosomal RNA
Rfam family: Bacterial small subunit ribosomal RNA
Source: RNAcentral